CGUUCAACCGCAAAAGAAGCAGAGGGGGCUUAGUGGUGGGGUGACUGCGUACCUUUUGUAUAAUGGGUCAGCGACUUAUAUUCUGUAGCAAGGUUAACCGCAUAGGGGAGCCGGAGGGAAACCGAGUCUUAAUUGGGCGUUAAGUUGCAGGGUAUAGACCCGAAACCCGGUGAUCUAGCCAUGGGCAGGUUGAAGGUUGGGUAACACUAACUGGAGGACCGAACCGACUAAUGUUGAAAAAUUAGCGGAUGACCUGUGGCUGGGGGUGAAAGGCCAAUCAAACCGGGAGAUAGCUGGUUCUCCCCGAAAGCUAUUUAGGUAGCGCCUCGUGAACUCAUCUCCGGGGGUAGAGCACUGUUUCGGCUAGGGGGCCAUCCCGGCUUACCAACCCGAUGCAAACUGCGAAUACCGGAGAAUGUUAUCACGGGAGACACACGGCGGGUGCUAACGUCCGUCGUGAAGAGGGAAACAACCCAGACCGCCAGCUAAGGUCCCAAAGUCAUGGUUAAGUGGGAAACGAUGUGGGAAGGCCCAGACAGCCAGGAUGUUGGCUUAGAAGCAGCCAUCAUUUAAAGAAAGCGUAAUAGCUCACUGGUCGAGUCGGCCUGCGCGGAAGAUGUAACGGGGCUAAACCAUGCACCGAAGCUGCGGCAGCGACGCUGAUGCGUUGUUGGGUAGGGGAGCGUUCUGUAAGCCUGUGAAGGUGGCCUGUGAGGGUUGCUGGAGGUAUCAGAAGUGCGAAUGCUGACAUAAGUAACGAUAAAGCGGGUGAAAAGCCCGCUCGCCGGAAGACCAAGGGUUCCUGUCCAACGUUAAUCGGGGCAGGGUGAGUCGACCCCUAAGGCGAGGCCGAAAGGCGUAGUCGAUGGGAAACGGGUUAAUAUUCCCGUACUUGGUGUUACUGCGAAGGGGGGACGGAGAAGGCUAUGUUGGCCGGGCGACGGUUGUCCCGGUUUAAGCGUGUAGGUGUGUGUUCCAGGUAAAUCCGGUUCACUUUAACACUGAGGCGUGAUGACGAGGCACUACGGUGCUGAAGCAACAAAUGCCCUGCUUCCAGGAAAAGCCUCUAAGCAUCAGGUAACAUCAAAUCGUACCCCAAACCGACACAGGUGGUCAGGUAGAGAAUACCAAGGCGCUUGAGAGAACUCGGGUGAAGGAACUAGGCAAAAUGGUGCCGUAACUUCGGGAGAAGGCACGCUGACACGUAGGUGAAGUGAUUUACUCACGGAGCUGAAGUCAGUCGAAGAUACCAGCUGGCUGCAACUGUUUAUUAAAAACACAGCACUGUGCAAACACGAAAGUGGACGUAUACGGUGUGACGCCUGCCCGGUGCCGGAAGGUUAAUUGAUGGGGUCAGCGCAAGCGAAGCUCCUGAUCGAAGCCCCGGUAAACGGCGGCCGUAACUAUAACGGUCCUAAGGUAGCGAAAUUCCUUGUCGGGUAAGUUCCGACCUGCACGAAUGGCGUAAUGAUGGCCAGGCUGUCUCCACCCGAGACUCAGUGAAAUUGAACUCGCUGUGAAGAUGCAGUGUACCCGCGGCAAGACGGAAAGACCCCGUGAACCUUUACUAUAGCUUGACACUGAACAUUGAGCCUUGAUGUGUAGGAUAGGUGGGAGGCUUUGAAGUGUGGACGCCAGUCUGCAUGGAGCCGACCUUGAAAUACCACCCUUUAAUGUUUGAUGUUCUAACGUGGACCCGUGAUCCGGGUUGCGGACAGUGUCUGGUGGGUAGUUUGACUGGGGCGGUCUCCUCCUAAAGAGUAACGGAGGAGCACGAAGGUUGGCUAAUCCUGGUCGGACAUCAGGAGGUUAGUGCAAUGGCAUAAGCCAGCUUGACUGCGAGCGUGACGGCGCGAGCAGGUGCGAAAGCAGGUCAUAGUGAUCCGGUGGUUCUGAAUGGAAGGGCCAUCGCUCAACGGAUAAAAGGUACUCCGGGGAUAACAGGCUGAUACCGCCCAAGAGUUCAUAUCGACGGCGGUGUUUGGCACCUCGAUGUCGGCUCAUCACAUCCUGGGGCUGAAGUAGGUCCCAAGGGUAUGGCUGUUCGCCAUUUAAAGUGGUACGCGAGCUGGGUUUAGAACGUCGUGAGACAGUUCGGUCCCUAUCUGCCGUGGGCGCUGGAGAACUGAGGGGGGCUGCUCCUAGUACGAGAGGACCGGAGUGGACGCAUCACUGGUGUUCGGGUUGUCAUGCCAAUGGCACUGCCCGGUAGCUAAAUGCGGAAGAGAUAAGUGCUGAAAGCAUCUAAGCACGAAACUUGCCCCGA
This 2266-nucleotide ribosomal RNA is filed under the name Salmonella enterica subsp. enterica serovar Agama. Its description in RNAcentral is "partial 23S ribosomal RNA". It matches the Rfam family "Bacterial large subunit ribosomal RNA", at positions 549 to 2802 of the family's 2925-position model. The record is from RNAcentral. Lineage: Bacteria; Pseudomonadati; Pseudomonadota; Gammaproteobacteria; Enterobacterales; Enterobacteriaceae.